Molecule: small RNA, 89 nt
Filed under: Escherichia coli
Lineage: Bacteria; Pseudomonadati; Pseudomonadota; Gammaproteobacteria; Enterobacterales; Enterobacteriaceae
Description: partial RtT sRNA
Rfam family: RtT RNA
About the family: This family represents a bacterial cis-regulatory element known as RtT RNA. The exact function of RtT is unknown although it is thought that it may be involved in changing the cellular response in relation to amino acid starvation.
Source: RNAcentral
CGACUCGAGCGCCAGCGAGAGAGCGUUGCCGCAGGCAACGACCCGAAGGGCGAAGCGCGCAGCGCUGAGUAAUCCUUCCCCCACCACCA